AGUUGAUCCAUAUAGGUUGUAGGUUAUUGUUAAUCUGCUUAACAUUAAAUCUCCCUAUAACCCCACUUGACUAGCUUGGC
RNAcentral lists this non-coding RNA (80 nucleotides) under Dipodomys ordii (Ord's kangaroo rat). The record is from RNAcentral. Lineage: Eukaryota; Metazoa; Chordata; Mammalia; Rodentia; Heteromyidae.